RNAcentral lists this ribosomal RNA (406 nucleotides) under Bacillota bacterium. Its description in RNAcentral is "Firmicutes bacterium partial 16S ribosomal RNA". It matches the Rfam family "Bacterial small subunit ribosomal RNA", at positions 355 to 776 of the family's 1533-position model. Lineage: Bacteria; Bacillati; Bacillota. The record is from RNAcentral.
CAAGGAGUUUUCCGCAAUGGGCGCAAGCCUGACGGAGCAACGCCGCGUGGGGGAUGACGCCCUUCGGGGUGUAAACCCCUUUUCUUGGGGACGAAGCAGUGACGGUACCCGAGGAAGAAGGCCCGGCUAACUACGUGCCAGCAGCCGCGGUAAUACGUAGGGGCCGAGCGUUGUCCGGAGUUACUGGGCGUAAAGCGCGCGCAGGCGGCUCGUCAAGCCCGACGUGAAAGCCCCCGGCUCAACCGGGGAGGGUCGUCGGGGACUGGCGGGCUUGAGGACGGCAGGGGUUGGUGGAAUUCCCGGUGUAGUGGUGAAAUGCGUAGAGAUCGGGAGGAACACCCGUGGCGAAGGCGGCCAACUGGGCCGGACCUGACGCUGAGGCGCGAAGGCGUGGGGAGCGAACGGG